This 29-nucleotide non-coding RNA is filed under the name Rattus norvegicus (Norway rat). The record is from RNAcentral. Lineage: Eukaryota; Metazoa; Chordata; Mammalia; Rodentia; Muridae.
UGGCUGCGUACCCCAGAGGUCAAAAUUCA